GUUACAAUUAAAUUAUAUGCUUUUAAAUUGUAUAGUGUACUAAAUUGAUAAUCCAUUUAUAUAAAAAAUAUAAUGAAAAUUUUUUUAAAAAAGUUGAAAAAAAAUCAUAGCAGAUCAGUGUCUAUAGGAAAAAUAGGUACUUCUGAAUUAUUUAUAAUUCUGUACAAUGAGUAUUAUUUACAUGUGUUUAUUAUUUGACAUAAUUUGUAUAGUUGAUGAAAAUUUGUGAUACUUUUAUUGAACGGUUUUGAUAUCAUAAAUUGUAGAUUUUUAAUGAAAUACAUCCACACAAAAUAUGUAUUAAUAUAUUUCACUAUCUAUAACAACCAUAAUAUGAAAAGCAUUGGUCAUUCGCGCCAAUGACGAAUCGCUAAUAUUUAUGAUUCACUGGUCCAUUGAAACGUCGUUGAAAAAGAUCGACCCAAUGAGUCUUAGACUACUGUUGAAUACCUCGGCAAAAAAACUCCAACGUAUACUGCACACUGUGCAUGCUAAUAAGUCAUCCGUCGAUCAUAAUUGUCAUAUAGGUAGGAUGAUCCAAGGGCACAGGCGGCAUAACACAGAUUUGCGAUGUGGCUUGACGUGGUAAUUCGGAGGAACACUGAGGGGAAAGUUGUUAUUUUUUGUUGUUGUAGCCCGAUUUUUGCAAUAUUUAUCAGAUUACCAUUAUAAUAAUAAACACCCGGUAGUUAAAUAGAGCGGUAUAUUUAUUAGAUUCAAAAUGAGUUGGCAAUAGAGACAGCCGCUGUCAUUUUUAUGCUUUCUGAUUUUUCAAUAAAAAAAAACAAAUGUUAU
Molecule: long non-coding RNA, 795 nt
Organism: Daktulosphaira vitifoliae (grape phylloxera)
Lineage: Eukaryota; Metazoa; Arthropoda; Insecta; Hemiptera; Phylloxeridae
Exons: 4
Source: RefSeq, a predicted model, not a curated record